AAGUACAAAAACUAACUUCGAAAAAAAAGGUUCUUAAUUUCUAUAAUUGAAUAACAGCCCCCAGAAACAUACCCAAUUCAUUAGAAUGCCUUUUAAUCCUCUACCUAACGACCCCAACCCAAGUAUCGAUCAGAGAAGUGUUCCGGGGAAGGACAACAUCCAAACAGACACCAACGACACAUCAAUCCCACUCCUGCACAUGUUAAUGUUAGAUCAAUGCCUCCGCCUUCAGAGCCCACCGGCUCUGCACUAGUACCGAGGAUCAAGAGCAGCCCAUCACGUGAAAGUCAGAUAUUGUCGCAAGAGCAGAAGCAGAACCAGCAAAAGCGUGCUGAUCUUAUUAUAAAUUCUCAGGCAGAAAACAAGAAGAUGGAUGAUAUGCCGAAAGCACAACAGAAAGACGAACCACAACAUGAAUAUCCCGACAGGGACGAUGGCAAAACCCCAUCUAUUAAUUAUACUCCUGAAACUGCUGCCCUGGGCCUGGCGUGAGCAUUCAAGUUACCAUAUCGGUGGUACCAGAUCAACGUAAAAGUUUGAACGUUAAUAUUCCUACAACAUUUUCGGUGAAUGGCAAUUGGAACGAAAACGGGAUACCCAACAUCACUCCACAAAUAGUUCCGACGCCUCAAGAUGCGUUGCCAAAAGCUCUGCUCCAUUUUGUAAAUAAAAAUAUGAAUAAGCUAGUAGUGGUGGAUCAUGUUAUGCAGCUAUUGAAGGAGACAAGUUGUAUAAGGUGUGAUAUUCGUUGAACAGAUAAUGUAAAAAUAGAAGUGCAGAUUCAGAGGCUUGUAAAACGUCCUUGAUUCAGUUUGCUCGAUCUUCUUAUAUCAUGAUAGUUUGAUCAGUGAUAUUGUUUUUUGGUUAUGAAGUUUAGGGGUGCUUCAUGUUUUUUAUAUUCAUCUACAUAUACAGCUCAAUGCUUCAGUGUGAAAAACUCUGAUAG
This is a long non-coding RNA of Juglans microcarpa x Juglans regia, 946 nucleotides long. RefSeq lists it as uncharacterized. The record is from RefSeq and is a predicted model, not a curated record. Lineage: Eukaryota; Viridiplantae; Streptophyta; Magnoliopsida; Fagales; Juglandaceae. The transcript has 4 exons.